RNAcentral lists this long non-coding RNA (1023 nucleotides) under Aquilegia coerulea. RNAcentral describes it as "long non-coding RNA (ACOE_LNC000437)". The record is from RNAcentral. Lineage: Eukaryota; Viridiplantae; Streptophyta; Magnoliopsida; Ranunculales; Ranunculaceae.
UUAAUUUUUUCAAAAUUAAAUUUCAAAUUAACAGUUGUUAUUUAAUCAUCAUAUUGGAUCAAUGGUUCACAUUCAAUAUACCUUUUUCUAUCAAGUCACAUCACUUCUUACACAGUCAUAAUCAAAUGAAAAAGUACAAAGGGCAAUUUAGGUAGCAAAAAUUCUGAAAAAUAUAAAGUGGUGGGGUAGAGUGGCUGUUUGGGAAGAUUACCACUCAUGAGUGGCUAUUUGGGAAGAUACACCUAAAUGUGGUGGUUUUUUGAGAAAUUUUCCUAAAAAAAACAACGAAUACAGAGUUCCGUCUUAUUCAAUUUAAAAAAAAACCGGAAUACAAAGUUCCGUCUUAUAUUUAGUAAAAUUACCGAACUCAAAGUUCCGUCUUAUAAGCCAUUUAAUUUUCCUAAACUGACAUUUCCAAAUUUUCCCAUUGGCACCACUUCGCAGGAGUUUUUGACUACCAUGAAUAGAGAGUGAUUUUGAAGGUGGUUUUGCUUAUGUGGCACCUACGUGGAGGGCACCAAACUGCCCUCCCAUUGGGAUUGCUCUUAGAAAUUAUUUUGGGCUACAUAGGAUUCACAUCCUCACGUCCAUAAAAUUGACAUUCUAACUCACAAUAGCAUUGGAGAUCCUCUAAGUCUGUAUCAAGAUGACACAAGUCCGUCACUGAUUCAGGUCUACCAUCAAUUUUUAAGCCCUUUGUGGCUUUGUCUCCUCCGCCACGGUGUGCAACAAAAUAGAAUUGGAUACGAUGGCUGCUACACUUUCUGGCUCUUGUAAGGUCCCUUCUUAGUGCUGAACUGACCAUACAGAAUUUACUGAUUAAGGUGAACUAGAUAGAAAGUGCCGUGCUCAAAACAUACCCGCAUAAGUUCAUAGAUUAGAAGCUUAAGAAGAAUCAUCCAACUAGAAGGUUGUAGCAGUAGAGCACUCCUUCUGAUAGCCCUUCUCUUUCUAGAGAAUUAUUUUCUCAAAUGAGGUGAACGAGACAUGUUAUUGAUUACUUUCAAGCAAAGUACAAAAAUG